This 1120-nucleotide long non-coding RNA is filed under the name Felis catus (domestic cat). RNAcentral's name for it is "lncRNA (ENSFCAG00000051291.1)". The record is from RNAcentral. Lineage: Eukaryota; Metazoa; Chordata; Mammalia; Carnivora; Felidae.
CAGGUCCCUCCAUCGUUGUGGCAAAUCAAAAAUGCCGAGAUAGUUAAUUCCUUUUAAAGUUAGCCACUUUACCACCUUGAUGCAUAUAAUUCCACUUUUCAACCCACAUGUGUAUAAAUAAAAAUAGCAUCGUGCUAUAUGUUCUGUUGUGUAACCUGCGUUGCCUCUUAACAAUAUAUUAUAAACACCUACCUCUUUGUUGGUGAUAGAGACAUUUAUCUAACAUUAUCUUUAAUAGCUGGCACAUUAUUUUAUUGUCUGAAUGUACUCUAAUUUAUUUCCUCAAUCCCCUAUUGCUGGGACUUUUGGUUGCUCCCAAUAUUCAUGAUUAUUAACAGAAUUGCAGUGAACUUCCUUGUUACACCUUUUCAUAAUCCAUCAUUGUUUAUUUAUGAUGAUAAGCUCCUAGAGUGGAAAGUACAUUUUAAAAUCUUUUGAGACAUACUUACAAAUGCCCUUCCCCAGAGCCUUUGGUUUGAGUUGCUUUUAUAGCUUUCCUUGUAGCCAUUGAACCAACUCCUUGUCACCCUUUGGUGACUCCAACGUAGUGCCAAGGGAAUCCUAUUUUCCCCAGACCUUCUCAAAGUCUCUCCCAAGUCCCCAAAUUAAUUCUAGUUUUUUACCACAAUUUUUCCUCAGAGUGACCUGUUUUGUUGUUUAAGGACCACCCUGAAAUUAUUGGGGUACAGAGACAAAGAACUAUUUUAAAAGUCAGGAAAAGUAGAAAAACCUAUAGAGAGCUUCACAGGCAUGCCAUAGGAUAAAUGGAGGUUGAUCAUUAUGUCUCUUACAUAUUAUUUUGAGUAGACUCAUUAUAGAGCUUUAAAAUGCUAUUUUGAAAUGCCACAUAUUACUACUUAAGAUGUAAACAACUCAUUCUAGGUUAAAAACUGUAUGGUCAGAAGGCUUCAAAAAUAGCAGCUCUAUGGCUAGAAGGCUUCAAAAGUAAUGCCCGAUGUACAGUUUUGAAAUAUGGAACACCAUUGCUGUUCACCAGCAGGCCUGAGGCAGCCAGUACAGUCAAAAGCUGACACGCCUGUGCCUCUCAUGGAAGCUUCUAGAGCACAACUAGCAAGAGCCUGGAACUCCAUGCACAAAUAAGAGAAACCUGCCUUCUAUG